AAAUUGGCUCUAUUAAGAGCCAAACUUCGAAAAUUAAUUUUGCAUU
Non-coding RNA from Glossina austeni, 46 nucleotides. The record is from Rfam. Lineage: Eukaryota; Metazoa; Arthropoda; Insecta; Diptera; Glossinidae.